RNAcentral lists this transfer RNA (74 nucleotides) under Kibdelosporangium aridum. Its description in RNAcentral is "tRNA_Pseudo_CCT". Lineage: Bacteria; Bacillati; Actinomycetota; Actinomycetes; Pseudonocardiales; Pseudonocardiaceae. The record is from RNAcentral.
ACCGCCUUGCCACGCUUCGGCCGGUGACCGGUUUCCUAAACCGUGUGUCGCAGGUUCGAUUCCUGCCGGGGGCA